This 557-nucleotide ribosomal RNA is filed under the name Escovopsis sp. RNAcentral describes it as "partial large subunit ribosomal RNA". It matches the Rfam family "Eukaryotic large subunit ribosomal RNA", at positions 84 to 662 of the family's 3401-position model. Lineage: Eukaryota; Fungi; Ascomycota; Sordariomycetes; Hypocreales; Hypocreaceae. The record is from RNAcentral.
UAACGGCGAGUGAAGCGGCAACAGCUCAAAUUUGAAAUCCGGCCCCCCGGGCCCGAGUUGUAAUUUGCAGAGGAUGCUUCUGGCGAGGCGCCGCCCGAGUUCCCUGGAACGGGACGCCACAGAGGGUGAGAGCCCCGUCUGGCUGGCCGCCGAGCCUCUGUGAAGCUCCUUCGACGAGUCGAGUAGUUUGGGAAUGCUGCUCAAAACGGGAGGUAUAUGUCUUCUAAAGCUAAAUACCGGCCAGAGACCGAUAGCGCACAAGUAGAGUGAUCGAAAGAUGAAAAGCACUUUGAAAAGAGGGUUAAACAGUACGUGAAAUUGUUGAAAGGGAAGCGCUUGCGACCAGACUCGGGCGCGGCGGAUCACCCGGCGUUCUCGCCGGUGCACUCCGCCACGCCCGGGCCAGCAUCAGUUCGCGCCGGGGGACAAAGGCGCCGGGAAUGUGGCUCCCCCGGGAGUGUUAUAGCCCGGCGCGCAAUACCCUGGCGCGGACUGAGGACCGCGCGUUCGCGCAAGGAUGCUGGCGUAAUGGUCGCCAGCGACCCGUCUUGAAACAC